UAGAGAGUGCUAUACUUUACAACCAUAGCUGCUUAAAGCCGACAACCUUACGUCUUUAUUUCUCAAGACUAACCCUCU
RNAcentral lists this transfer RNA (78 nucleotides) under Potamilus alatus. Its description in RNAcentral is "tRNA-Asp". Lineage: Eukaryota; Metazoa; Mollusca; Bivalvia; Unionida; Unionidae. The record is from RNAcentral.